Long non-coding RNA from Galeopterus variegatus (Sunda flying lemur), 653 nucleotides. RefSeq lists it as uncharacterized. The record is from RefSeq and is a predicted model, not a curated record. Lineage: Eukaryota; Metazoa; Chordata; Mammalia; Dermoptera; Cynocephalidae. The transcript has 2 exons.
GGCGCGAGUUCUCUGCUGGUGGCUUUCUCCGCGGCCCCUCCCGGGACAGAGCUGUUCCAGUGGGUGGGUCUCGGGUGUUAGCGGCAGAAGUGCAUCUCUCGCCCACCGCGUACUGGAGAUUUCGUGCCCCCCAACCCUCCCCGACAGAAUGGUAAUUCGCCCACUUUAAACGGUCUUUGUCGCCUCCCAAACUGACGCCCUGGCCUCAUGGUCUUGACCCGUGAGAAAAACGCAAAUUAGAGACAGUGACGUCUACAUCAAAGCGCUGUGUCCAUUCAUCCAACAUUCAUUGAAUGUCUGCUGUGUGUUAUGAGCUUCUGUGUCGCUGUCCUUUUGGACCUUACAGAGGGAGCCGCUGGAGCAGCACAAAGUCCAAGCUCUUUCCAACGUGGCACUUAGAUCACCAUCCGUGACCCGCCCCUACUGCAUCUUCUGCCGCUCCUCGCCGCCGUGUUACGGUCCAGCAACACAGCCCGGUGGUUUCCGGCCUCUGGCUCUGCUUGUUCUGUCCCUCCACCUGCCUUGAAUAACCUUCUUCAGUCUCUUAACCAGACCAAGCCUGCUCAUCCCUUACCAUUCGGCUUAAGGGUCGCCUUCCCCCAAAAGCCUUACUUGACCUCCACCUCCUUUAUACACACCUAUUGUUACACUUA